AAAAACACAAACCCUGGGUUUCUAAGCCUGGCACAUUUAAUUGUCCAUCUUAUAUGAAUUUUUUUUACAAUUAUUAUUUUCAUUGUUGUUAGAUGAUAAAACAUGAUUAAUACUUUAUACGUGACUUAUCUUUUAAAUUUUUUUAAUAUUUUUUUAAAUAAAACGGACGGUCAAACAUUGGACGUGGAAAUCGGGUUUGUCUAUG
RNAcentral lists this microRNA precursor (205 nucleotides) under Oryza sativa Indica Group (long-grained rice). RNAcentral's name for it is "MIR812 microRNA precursor family". It matches the Rfam family "MIR812 microRNA precursor family". Lineage: Eukaryota; Viridiplantae; Streptophyta; Magnoliopsida; Poales; Poaceae. The record is from Rfam by way of RNAcentral.